AAAGGUUCCAUGUGAACGGCACU
RNAcentral lists this small nuclear RNA (23 nucleotides) under Arabidopsis thaliana (thale cress). RNAcentral describes it as "snRNA_16437". The record is from RNAcentral. Lineage: Eukaryota; Viridiplantae; Streptophyta; Magnoliopsida; Brassicales; Brassicaceae.